RNAcentral lists this long non-coding RNA (1013 nucleotides) under Panax ginseng (ginseng). RNAcentral's name for it is "long non-coding RNA (PGIN_LNC006009)". The record is from RNAcentral. Lineage: Eukaryota; Viridiplantae; Streptophyta; Magnoliopsida; Apiales; Araliaceae.
UUAAGUGUUACAUUUUUAGGAUUGCAUGUUAAUUCCAGCUUUUGAUAGUACGUAUGUUUGGGGCCAAUGAUGAAAUUAAAAUUGCAUGAGAAAGUCUAGUAUGGAUUGUUGAGUCAGUGAUAUGAUUUUCUUGACAUGAUUUAAAUCUUUAUCUGUUUGACACUGAUAUUAUAAGGAUAACACGUUUUGAAAAAUGACCAUGUUGGCUAUGAUAGUUUAAAUUGAUAGAUAAUAGAGUUCUAAAGGAUGAAUGCUAGUGAAAUGAAGGAAUAAUUUGAAUAGCUAGUGAAGGCUGAAUUUAGACAUAAACUCAAGUUUGGGGGAAAAUAUUUGGAGUAUAUAAGCUUUAAAAUAUAUAUAUAUAUAUAUAUAUAUAUAUAUAUAAACACCGUGUCAUGCUUGUCUAGUUUUGUGGCCUUUGUUACUUGAGUAAGUAAGCCCGAGGGGAUUGUCUCUACACCUAGCGCCCUAAGGUCUUAAUGGCUUGGGAGUCGUUGGUCGAAAGCUCGUUAAGGUAACACUGAAAAGCCUAAGGGAAUAAGACAAUGCAUAGUCAUGAGAAAAAAAAAAUAUAAUAAAGUGGGAAAAGUGCAAAAAGCCCCCGUAUAAAAAAAGCAUAAGUAUUCCUUUUUGACCCCUGGACUUUGGUGAUUGUUUAAUUUUAGUUGAAUCAAGUGUAUUUGAUGAGUUCUCAAGUUUAUAUUGUAUGAUGUCUUCAAAGAAAGCUAUUAUCUUUCCUAUUUUUGCUCGUUAUUGGUUAGCAUGGUUGUUGAACACACACUCACGAUAUCAGUAAUAACAGAUUUAGAUUUGUUGAUUGUUGGGGUAUUAUUGAUCUGUUUUAACAUGAUGUAUUAGCAUAUUUUUGCUAUUUUUCUGAGGCCUAUGAAUAUAUGUGUGCUAUUGGAUUGCUGGAAUUAAGAAUGUGUAGAUAGUUUGCAUUUGCAUGGUGGUUAGUUGUUCGUGUUGUUUGGUGUAUGUUGCUUGAGGACAAGCAACGAUUUAAGUUUGGG